AACGGGGAUUGCCUCAGUAACGGCGAGUGAAGCGGCAACAGCUCAAAUUUGAAAUCUGGCGCCCCCGGCGCCCGAGUUGUAAUUUGCAGAGGAUGCCUCGGUGCGAGGCCGCGCCCAAGUCCCUUGGAACAGGGCGCCUCAGAGGGUGAGAGUCCCGUUGGGCCGCGGCCGACCUCCGUGUGAGGCUCCUUCGACGAGUCGAGUUGUUUGGGAAUGCAGCUCUAAGCGGGAGGUAAAUUUCUCCUAAGGCUAAAUACCGGCCAGAGACCGAUAGCGCACAAGUAGAGUGAUCGAAAGAUGAAAAGCACUUUGGAAAGAGAGUUAAAAAGCACGUGAAAUUGUUGAAAGGGAAGCGCUUGCGGCCAGACUUGCCGCGGCGGUUCGGCCGGGUGCUCCACCCGGCUUACUCCGCCGCGUCGGGCCAGCAUCAGCUUGGGCGGUCGGACAAAGGCCUGGGGAACGUAGCUCCCUCCGGGGAGUGUUAUAGCCCCUCGCGCAAUGCGGCCUGCCCGGGCUGAGGCUCGCGUUCUGCUAGGAUGCUGGCGUAAUGGCCGCAAGCGGCCCGUCUUGAAACACGGACCAAGGAGUCUACCAUCUGUGCGAGUGUUUGGGUGUCAAACCCGUGCGCGUAAUGAAAGUGAACGGAGGCGGGAGCCCCCGGGCGCACCGUCGACCGAUCCUGAUGUCUUCGGAUGGAUUUGAGUAAGAGCACAGCUGGUGGGACCCGAAAGGUAAGCAACCAAUCCUUCUCUUCUACUUUAUAAAUGAAAGCUAAUAGAAAUUUCCCAGAUGGUGAACUAUGCGUAAACAGGGCGAAGCCAGAGGAAACUCUGGUGGAGGCUCGCAGCGGUUCUGACGUGCAAAUCGAUCGUCAAAUUCGCGCAUAGGGGCGAAAGACUAAUCGAA
RNAcentral lists this ribosomal RNA (906 nucleotides) under Strigula multiformis. RNAcentral describes it as "partial large subunit ribosomal RNA". It matches the Rfam family "Eukaryotic large subunit ribosomal RNA", at positions 67 to 939 of the family's 3401-position model. Lineage: Eukaryota; Fungi; Ascomycota; Dothideomycetes; Strigulales; Strigulaceae. The record is from RNAcentral.